Molecule: ribosomal RNA, 205 nt
Filed under: uncultured Thauera sp.
Lineage: Bacteria; Pseudomonadati; Pseudomonadota; Betaproteobacteria; Rhodocyclales; Zoogloeaceae
Description: partial 16S ribosomal RNA
Rfam family: Bacterial small subunit ribosomal RNA
Source: RNAcentral
AGUGACGUCAAGUCCUCAUGGCCCUUAUGGGUAGGGCUUCACACGUCAUACAAUGGUCGGUACAGAGGGUUGCCAAGCCGCGAGGUGGAGCCAAUCCCUUAAAGCCGAUCGUAGUCCGGAUCGUAGUCUGCAACUCGACUACGUGAAGUCGGAAUCGCUAGUAAUCGCAGAUCAGCAUGCUGCGGUGAAUACGUUCCCGGGUCUU